CAAGUCCUAGAGAACUAUUACAGGAGUUACAGGGAGACUUUGAUCGGUCAGUAAGCAAUACAGCCAGGCGUAUAAAGCUGUUAAAAGAACGCCUUGGGACAAAUACUAUCCCCUAUGAUUUGAGGCCCCUAAAGCAAAGCGAAGAGAAAGGUCACGUAGUAGCCCCUCUCAGAAGAGUAUUUGAUGCACUUGAGGAGCCUGUGCUGGUUAACGGGCAACUCGGACCACGGCCACCUCGAACUUCGACCCUCCAGUACAUUCCAUUCACAACUACGGAUCUGAUGAAUUGGAAAACACACACCCCGUCUUUCGCAGAAAAACCUCAGGCUAUGAUGGACUUGGUGACUUCAAUAGUAAAUACUCAUAGUCCUACUUGGACAGAUUGCCGCCAGCUCCUGAAUACUCUGUUCACCACUGAGGAAAGAAGAGACAUAAUUGAAAAGGCACAGAUAUAUUUGCGUGAGCAGGCCAGAGUGGGAAAUAUUCUUAAUGUUGACCGUCAUCUCCAGGACAAUUUUCCCUUGGAGGAUCCUAAUUGGGAUCCAAACAAUGCAAUUCACCUGGCCAGGCUUACCACCUACCGCCAGACGCUUGUGCAAGGUAUCCGCAGGGCAUGCCAGAAGCCCACUAAUAUGACUAAAGUCUCAGAAGUAGAACAGAAACCGAAUGAGAGUCCGGGAGACUUUUAGAGAGGCUGCAGGAAGCCUAUCGUAUAUGGACUCCUUUUGACCCUGAAGCCCCUGCAAACAGCAGAAUGAUUACUGCUACUUUUGUGGCUCAGUGCGCUUCUGACAUUCGUAAGAAAAUUCAGAAGUCAGAAGGCUGGGAAGGGAUGCUGAUGAGCCAAAUUAUGGCCAUUGCACGCCGAGUUUAUCGGAAUAGGGAUGAGGCUGAGAAACAAGAGAAGAAGAAGUGGCAGAAGGAAAAGAUGGUGAUGCUAGCCACAGCAGUGAAGCAAGACUACCGCCCUUUAAAUGGAGGGAGAGGGCGGGGAAGGAAUCCACCACUGGGAAGGAAUCAAUGUGCGAAUUGCAAGAAGGAGGGUCAUUGGAAGCGGGAGUGUCCUGAACCCCUGAGGUUGGAAGAAGUACGCCCAGGCCCAGGCCCAGGCUCCGGCCCAAGAAACCAGGGACGGGGACGGGGAAUGAUCCGAGAUGGAAGAUAUCAGAGACCUGGACAAGGACGGAGUAGAGACAAUUUCAUUGGACUGGCAGAGGAGGAUUUUACCCAAGACUAGGAACGACCGGACUCCAUAAAGUUAGGCUUCCAGGAGCCCACGGUCAAAAUUCAAUUAGGGAGCCAUUUAAUAGACUUUAUGAUAGAUACUGGCGCUGAAUACUCAGUACUCCCAGAACUAUUGCAGAAAAAGGCAUCCAAAAGUGUAGUCAUUAAAAGUGCCACUGGUCAGUCAGCUAAGAGGUCUUUCCUCCAACCUUUAGAAUGCCAGAUUGGGGGACAUCAUUUAACCCAUCAGUUUUUGUAUAUACCUGAGUGUCCAAUGCCUCUCUUAGGUAGAGAUAUGCUGUCCAAAUUGCAGGCCCAAAUCACCUUCACUCCUCGAGGUCCAGAAAUGAAACUGCCAUCAAAGGCAGCAGGAAUAAUUUCCCUCUCAGUACCUAAGGAACAAUCAUGGCGCCUAAUGUCAGCCCUGCAAGUCCAACCCACAUUGGAUACAGAAUUAAACAAGCUCCUCCGAACCCUACAAGUGCCACCAGGAGUAUGGGCCGAAAAUAGCCCACCAGGAAUGGCUAAGAAUAUAGCUCCAAUUGUAGUAACCCUAAAACCUAUGGCUACCCCUGUAUCUGUAAAGCAAUAUCCUUUACCCCGGCGAGCAGCAGAGGGCAUCCAGAAACAUUUGGACCGCCUAUUAAAAUAUGGUCUGCUUAAGCCCUGCCAAUCAGAAUGGAACACACCCCUUUUGCCUGUUCGGAAGCCUGGGACAGAUGAAUACAGGCCAGUACAGGACUUGAGGCUCGUAAACCAGGCUAUCGAGACCUUGCACCCAAAUGUACCAAACCCAUAUACCUUGCUGAGUUUGAUCCCACCAGAAGCAACAUUUUUACUGUAUUGGACUUGAAAGAUGCAUUCUUCUGUUGCCGGCUGGCACCACAGAGCCAACCUAUAUUUGCCUUCCAGUGGGAAGACCCUUUGACAGGAACAAAAGGCCAGCUAACCUGGACAAGAUUGCCCCAGGGAUUCAAAAAUUCCCCAACUUUAUUUGGCACUGCCUUGGCGAAGGAUCUAACAAGUUACCCCUCAAUACCUGGAAAAAGGUGGUUCUGCAAUAUGUAGAUGACCUUAUACUAGCGGCAAAGGAUUUUGAUACCUGUAAAGAAGGGACAGAGGAACUGCUCCACUUGCUCUGGGAAGCUGGCUACCGAGUUUCCCAGAAAAAGGCACAGUUAUGUUUAGAAAAGGUCAAAUAUUUGGGCUUUGACAUCUCACACCAACAACGAGCAUUGAGACCAGAGAGGAAAGAAGCUAUUUGCCUUAUCAAGGAACCUACCACAAGGAAACAACUCAGAGGAUUCCUGGGAACAGCAGGGUUUUGUAGACUAUGGAUACCUGAUUUCAGCAGUCUGGCCAAGCCCUUACAUGAAAGCACUCGAGGUGCAGAAAGGACCCAUUCGUAUGGGGACCUGAGCAGCAACAAGCCUUUUUAGUUAUCAAACAACGACUUAUGGAGGCCCCAGCCCUUGGACUGCCUAAUUCGGAAAAACCCUUUCAGCUGUAUGUACAUGAACAGAAUGGGAUUGCAGCAGCAGUCCUGACCCAGAGAUUAGGAAGUUGGAACCGUCCAGUAGCUUAUUUGUCAAAACAAUUGGACUCAGUAGCAAAGGAUGGCCUCCAUGCCUAAGGGCAGUAGCGGCCACUGCAAGCCUUGUCAAAGAAGCUGAUAAAUUUACCUUUGGCCAGACGAUGUAUGUGAAUGUACCUCAUGCUGUUCUGACACUCAUGGAAUAUAAGGGUAGUUAUUGGCUAACGAAUCCAAGGAUGGCUAGAUACCAAGGCCUAUUGUGUGAAAAUCCCAGGAUUCAUCUACGAGUAGUGAAUAUGCUCAAUCCAGCAACUUUGCUGCCCCUACCAGAGGUAGAUGAUGAAGAAUCACAUGAUUGUCUCCAAAUAAUGGAUGAAGUGUAUUCCAGUAGACCCGAUCUGAAAGAUGAACCAUUGAAAAAUCCAGAUGUUGUAUAUUAUACUGAUGGUAGCAGUUACCUGCAUGAAGGUGCCAGACGAGCAGGAUAUGCUGUGGUCACCAAUGAGGAAGUUGUGGAAGCUGAAGCUUUGCCUGCUGGCACCUCAGCACAAAAGGCUGAACUUAUAGGUUUAACUAGAGCUCUGCAAUUGGCAGCCGGAUGUAAGGCAAACAUCUAUACUGAUUCUAAAUAUGCCUUCUUAACCCUGCAUGCACAUGGAGCUCUAUGGAAAGAAAGAGGUCUAAUCGGAGCCCAUGGGAAGGCCUUGAAAUAUGGACCUGAAGUAGAAAUCCUGUUGGAAGCAGUAUGGGCUCCAGAACAGAUUGCUGUAAUGCACUGCAAAGGUCAUGGACGUGGAAGGGAUCCAAUAACCAGAGGAAAUCAUGCUGCUGACAAAGCAGCCCGAGAGGCAGCCCAGAAGCCUGUGGGAGGAUUUAUAGCAGCCCUCAUACCAGAGGUAGUUCCAGAAGAAAUUAAACCUCACUAUACCCCAGAAGAGAGGAAGUGGGCUGAACAGGAAGGAGCGGUUGUGAAGGACGGUUGGAUGAUCCUGCCGGACAAUAGGAUUUAUGUACCUCAUCACCUAGCAGGCACAAUUGUAAGAAAUUAUCAUGAAUCUACUCACCUUGGCGGUACUGCAACCAGAGAGAGUCUCAGUCGGAAGUUGUAUAUUAUUAACCUAUCACAAUUAGCAACUUGCAUUUCACAGAAAUGUGUUCUUUGUGCUAAAAACAAUCCCAGGCAGGGACCGGUACAACCUCCUGGAAUCCAACAUGUGGGAUACGUCCCCAUGGAAAGCCUAAUUGUGGACUUCACAGAGCUGGUCCCUUCUAAGGGAUUCAAGUACCUCCUUGUGUUUGUAGAUACCCUUACCGGAUGGGUUGAAGCUUUUCCCACCAGGACUGAAAAGGCACGAGAGGUAACUAAGAGACUCCUCACUGAAUUGAUCCCGAGGUUUGGAUUACCUAGAUGCAUUGGAAGUGAUAAUGGGCCAGCGUUCAUUGAUCAAGUAGUACAAGAAGUAUGUCGAGUCCUACAAGUGAAAUGGAGACUGCAUGCAGCAUAUAGGCCUCAAAGUUCGGGGAAACUGAAAGAAUGAAUCGGACUCUGAAAACCCAAUUGGCAAAAUUAACCCAGGAAACAGGAUUGGGAUGGGUAGAUGUGUUACCCAUAACACUGUUUCGUGUUCGGUGUGCACCCACAAAAAGACUUAAGUUGUCACCUUUUGAGCUCCUGUAUGGGAGGCCACCCUCCUUUGUUCAGGAUAUUCCAGCUGACCUCAAACAAAUAGGAGACCAUGUGACACAGGGACAAGUGCAAUCUCUCUCCCGUGUUUUUGUUUCUCUUAACAGGUGGGCCCUCGAGCGCACGCCGUGCAGCAUUGCCGAGCCGAUUCAUCAGUUCCAGGCUGGCGAUAGCGUAUGGGUGAAAGAGUGGAAACGUGAUCCACUUGCACCUAAGUGGCGUGGGCCUUACACCGUCUUGCUCUCUACUCCAACAGCGGUGAAGGUAGCUGAGGUGACCCCCUGGAUUCAUCACUCCCGUUUGAAGAAGUCCGAAGGCAGUUGGACGUGCAAAGGUGACCCCUCUAAUCCUUUUAAACUGACUCUCUCCAAAAACCCCUGUAUCUAGCCCUACGGGGAACGGGCUAGGUCACGGGCAACAUUAGACGACCGGCCUGCUGCAGCCACAACCUGGAAGCUGGCUGACCUGCGCACGCCUGAAGCUUGAGGAGCAUCUGAACCAGCGAUUGUGAACAGGAAGAUUCUCUUAUACAUUUGAUUGACUGCCCCCCCCCCUGUGGAACAAUUAUCAGGGAUAUUACUCAUUGGGGAUCCUCGGGAUAUAUGUUUUGGUCUUGGUGGUUCCCCAUUUCUGUCAUUGGGGGAAUUAUAUUGGGCCUAAUAUUUUUUGUUAUCACAAUAAGGUAAUCUUUUGUGGAAGAAAUGCAUAUACUAGACAUCAACAUGAUUUUAUUAUUAAUCCUGAUCCCUUGGGAAGGGGAAGGGUCCUUGAAUCUGACCAAAUUUGCUAAAUAUGGAUUCCGCCAUGACCACAAUAUGUGGGUAGGCUUAGCUGAGAUGGUAGCCAAUGUUACAAAUAGGACCAAUUGCCUUGUUUGCUCUCUUGGACCAGAUGAUUCAGAGGGAGGUAUGCCCUUAUUACCGAUACCAUUAAAUGCCAUUGGUAUGGUAAGCGAAAUGCCACACCAAACAGAAGUACAGAAUUUCCCCGGAUGGAACUCAACUAAACCAAUACGAGUUAUACCUGUGCAAGGGGAAUUCUGUGUACAUAAAUUAUCAGCUGCAGCUGAUUCUAUCAUGAUAGGCUCUUCUCAUUGCCACUAUACUUGGGAUUAUAUUAAGAAUAGUCAAACCUGGGCAAACGGUACUACCUAUCGAACUCGGAAUACCUUGCCCUGUGCACCUCCUUUUAUUCAUGCAUGGAAACUGGUGUGGAACAUAACUGUGACAGAAAAAGGCAAUCUAACAUACUGCACUGUGAACUCUAUGCCCCUUUUGAUAUUUCGCCUUAUGCACUCCACGUACCAAAAACCUCAGACCCGAUGGUUGUGGUGGAUAUGUGGAGAAUGGGCAUACAAGCAACUCCCUCCCAAAUGGAGUGGGACUUGUUUCCUGGGAUGGGUAUUACCACCAAUGUGGAUUAUGCCCACUAGUUCGGCAAAGCGUACACGAAGAAAUGCUGAUAUUUCUCAUAUAGCAGGAGGAAGUACCCAAAGUUGGAGUGAUACUGAUGAUUGGCCACCAGAGCGCAUUAUAGCCUAUUAUGAGCCUGCCUCCUGGAAUCCUGAUGAGCUCAUACAAGGGGCACGGGAUCCUAUUUAUAAUCUAAACAGAAUAAUUCGAUUGCAAGCAGUAGUGGAACUUGUAACCAAUGCAACGGCCCAGAGUUUGAGACUUAUUGCACAACAGUUGGAUGAAAGUAGAGCCGCCAUUUUGCAGCUGAAAAUGGGAAUGGAUUAUGUACUUGCCAGGCAGGGAGGCCUAUGUGGAGUCUUAAACUUGACAGGGAAUGCCUGUUGCUUUAACAUUUCUGAUAAUGGUGAGGCAAUCCGUGUGUUGGCCACAAAGAUGGAGAGUAUAGCACAUGUCCCAGUACAAAUAUGGGAAGGAUGGGAUAUGGGAUGGCUCACCAAUUGGUUACCUAAUGUUGCGGGACUCAAAGGGAUACUAUUGUCUUGCUUGUUUUUCUUGACGGUAGUAGUAAUGGUUUUAUGUACGGUGCCAUGUAUCAUUUCAUGUUUUAGAAGUACAAUUAGCAAGAUGAUUUCAAAUGAAACUUUACCUCAUAUUAUGGCCCUAUACAGAGCUUUACCUCAGGAAUAUGACGAAGGUCAAGCUAUCAAGGACACUUGGGAUGAAGGUCCUUGAGCUUGAAAGGGGGGAAUGAGGCAUCUGAUCAAAAUCUGCUUUGAGCUUAAAAAAUUAUAUUUGUAAAUAUAUUUUCUCUCAUGCAAGGAGAAGAGCAGCUGAAUACUCUGGCAGCUGUUCAGGGGCCCCACUGCUAUAAAUAGCAGUAUUUCAGGGUUGUAAAAGUAUUUCAAGGUUGUAAAGGAAAUUAGAGCCAGAGAGCAAAAGGUCACACUGACCAGAAUACAAUCAAGCUGUAAAAACACAAUUAAGAACUGGUAAAUAGUGAAAUUUAUUGUUUAACAGAAGACUCGAGCCAUAAGGUUAAAGGUUAAAUGGAAGAGGUUGCUCUUAGAAACAGCUGCUGGAUAGGGAAAAGGUUUCUUUAUAGAACUUAGGAACUUAGCUUUCACUAAGUUCCUUCUAAUUUGAAAAGGCCUUUCCUUCUAAAAAUCUAUCUAUGUUAUGUAUGAAAUAUAUUGGCUUAAAUGUGAUUAUGCAAAGGAUUUAGAAAGUAAGAAAUGUUAGAUUCUUAUGUUAGAUUCCUAUUAUGGUGGGUGAGAAUGUGAACUCAAGAUCUCUUUAAGAUAAAAAAAUUAGAAACCAUGCACCAUCUGCUUUAGCCAUCUGGUUUGCGGUGAAUAGGGCAACAGGGGCCAAAGGUUAUCUGGUAAUUGAGGUGCCUGGUCGAGGUAAAUGUAAGAUAUAUGGCUACUUGUCUGCCAUUUAUGGAUACAAGGAAAUAUAGCUUUUGUCUCCCAUAAAAGGGAAUAGGAAAUGGGUGUAUCUUUUAUGAUUGGUUCUAGCAAACAACCAAUAGGAAUUUCAACCAGGAUGAUUGGACAGAGGCAGCCAAAGGAGGAGCAAGGGGGCUGGGCUGAGGAAAUAUAAGUGCUGGCCAUCAGGGCUGGAGUAGGCAGAGCUUUGGUAUCCAUAUACCACUGUGUCUCUCAUUUAUUUGUCUGACAAAUAAAUUAUUAUUUUAAUUUCUC
This is a non-coding RNA of Podarcis lilfordi (Lilford's wall lizard), 7560 nucleotides long. The record is from the annotation of a GenBank genome assembly. Lineage: Eukaryota; Metazoa; Chordata; Lepidosauria; Squamata; Lacertidae.